RNAcentral lists this ribosomal RNA (409 nucleotides) under Actinomycetes bacterium. RNAcentral describes it as "Actinobacteria bacterium partial 16S ribosomal RNA". It matches the Rfam family "Bacterial small subunit ribosomal RNA", at positions 355 to 776 of the family's 1533-position model. Lineage: Bacteria; Bacillati; Actinomycetota; Actinomycetes. The record is from RNAcentral.
UGGGGAAUAUUGCACAAUGGGCGGAAGCCUGAUGCAGCGACGCCGCGUGGGGGAUGAAGGCCUUCGGGUUGUAAACUCCUUUCGACAGGGACGAAGCUUUUGUGACGGUACCUGUAUAAGAAGCACCGGCUAACUACGUGCCAGCAGCCGCGGUAAUACGUAGGGUGCGAGCGUUGUCCGGAAUUACUGGGCGUAAAGAGCUCGUAGGUGGUUUGUCGCGUCGUCUGUGAAAUUCCGGGGCUUAACUCCGGGCGUGCAGGCGAUACGGGCUGACUUGAGUGCUGUAGGGGAGACUGGAAUUCCUGGUGUAGCGGUGAAAUGCUCAGAUAUCAGGAGGAACACCGAUGGCGAAGGCAGGUCUCUGGGCAGUAACUGACGCUGAGGAGCGAAAGCAUGGGUAGCGAACAGG